GCUUGUCUCAAAGAUUAAGCCAUGCAUGUCUAAGUAUAACUCUUUUACUUUGAAAACUGCGAACGGCUCAUUAUAUCAGUUAUAGUUUCUUUGAUAGUCCCUUACUACUUGGAUACCCGUAGUAAUUCUAGAGCUAAUACAUGCUAAAAAUCCCGACUUCGGAAGGGAUGUAUUUAUUAGAUUAAAAACCAAUGCCCUCCGGGGCUCACUGGUGAAUCAUAAUAACUAUACGGAUCGCACGGCCUUGCGCCGGCGAUGGUUCAUUCAAAUUUCUUCCCUAUCAACUUUCGAUGUUUGGGUCUUGGCCAAACAUGGUCGCAACGGGUAACGGAGGGUUAGGGCUCGACCCCGGAGAAGGAGCCUGAGAAACGGCUACUACAUCCAAGGAAGGCAGCAGG
Molecule: ribosomal RNA, 398 nt
Filed under: Caespitomonium hyalinulum
Lineage: Eukaryota; Fungi; Ascomycota; Sordariomycetes; Hypocreales; Bionectriaceae
Description: Acremonium hyalinulum partial small subunit ribosomal RNA
Rfam family: Eukaryotic small subunit ribosomal RNA
Source: RNAcentral